This 253-nucleotide ribosomal RNA is filed under the name uncultured bacterium. Its description in RNAcentral is "partial 16S ribosomal RNA". It matches the Rfam family "Bacterial small subunit ribosomal RNA", at positions 524 to 776 of the family's 1533-position model. The record is from RNAcentral.
UACGUAGGGUCCAAGCGUUAUCCGGAAUCACUGGGCGUAAAGCGUGCGUAGGUGGCGUGUUAAGUGUGAUGUUAAAUCGUGUGGCUCAACCAUAUCGAUGUGUCGCAUACUGGCAUGCUAGAGGACAGCAGAGGCAAGUGGAAUUUGUAGUGUAGCAGUGAAAUGCGUAGAUAUUACAAGGAACACCAAUGGCGAAGGCAGCUCGCUGGGACGGUACUGACGCUAAGGCGCGAAAGCGUGGGGAGCAAACAGG